CUAAAACAUGCAAGUUGAACGUUUCGAACUAUGGCGAAACGUAGCGGACGGCUCAGUAACACGUGGCUAACCUGCCCUUGAGACGAGUAUAAUCCCGGGAAACUGGGGCUAAUACGUGAUAGGUGAAGAUGCCUGGAAUGGUUCAUCAUCUAAAGGACGUUGAGACCAUGUUUCACAGUGUCGCUCAAGGAUGGGGCCGCGGCCGAUCAGGUAGUUGGUGAGGUAACUGCUCACCAAGCCUUUGACCGGUACGGGCCGUGAGAGCGGGAGCCCGGAGAUGGGCACUGAGAUAAGGGCCCAGGCCCUAUGGGGCGCAGCAGUUGCGAAACCUCCGCAAUGCGCGAAAGCGUGACGGGGUUACCCCAAGUGCCAUCCGCUGAGGACGGCUUUUCUUUGGUGUAAUGAGCCAAAGGAACAAGGGGAGGGCAAGACUGGUGUCAGCCGCCGCGGUAAUACCAGCUCCCCGAGUGGUAAGGACAAUUAUUGGGCUUAAAGCGUCCGUAGCCGGCCUGGCAAGUCUUUCGUUAAAUCCAGCGACUUAAUCGUUGGGCUGCGGGAGAUACUGUUGGGCUAGG
Molecule: ribosomal RNA, 575 nt
Filed under: uncultured archaeon
Lineage: Archaea
Description: bacterial SSU rRNA
Rfam family: Archaeal small subunit ribosomal RNA
Source: RNAcentral